UGAAACAUUAACACACUU
This 18-nucleotide microRNA is filed under the name Callorhinchus milii (elephant shark). The record is from RNAcentral. Lineage: Eukaryota; Metazoa; Chordata; Chondrichthyes; Chimaeriformes; Callorhinchidae.